CAGCCGCCACGGUAAUACGUAGGGGGCGAGCGUUGUCCGAAGUUACUGGGCGUAAAGAGCGCGUAGGCUGGUCUUUAAGUGAGUGGUGAAAGGUUCGGGCUCAACCCGGACACUGCCUUUCAUACUGGGGACCUUGAGUGUGGGAGAGGCGAGUGGAAUGGUCGGUGUAGCGGUGAAAUGCGUAGAUAUCGAUCGGAACACCCAUGGCGAAGGCAGCUCGCUGGCCUAACACUGACGCUGAGGCGCGAAAGCGUGGGGAGCAAACAGGAUUAGAUACCCGCGUAGUCCCUGUCUCUUAUAC
This 301-nucleotide ribosomal RNA is filed under the name uncultured bacterium. RNAcentral's name for it is "partial 16S ribosomal RNA". It matches the Rfam family "Bacterial small subunit ribosomal RNA", at positions 509 to 807 of the family's 1533-position model. The record is from RNAcentral.